UACAGAGGGGGCAAGCGUUAUUCGGAAUUAUUGGGCGUAAAGGGCGCGUAGGCGGCUUUGCAAGUGACGGGUGAAAGCCCUCGGCUUAACCGAGGAACUGCCUGUCAGACUGUGAGGCUUGAGACCGGGAGAGGUGAGUGGAAUUCCCAGUGUAGCGGUGAAAUGCGUAGAUAUGCGGAGGAACACCGAUGGCGAAGGCAGUCCCCUGGGCCUGUACUGACGCUCAUGCACGAAAGCGUGGGGAGCAAACAGG
RNAcentral lists this ribosomal RNA (253 nucleotides) under uncultured bacterium. Its description in RNAcentral is "partial 16S ribosomal RNA". It matches the Rfam family "Bacterial small subunit ribosomal RNA", at positions 524 to 776 of the family's 1533-position model. The record is from RNAcentral.